UUUAUUCAUGUUUCUUCUGCUUGGGGUUCAUUGAGACUUUUGGGUCUGUGGGUUUAUAGUUUUUUAUUUAUUUGGAAAAAUUUUAGACAUUAUUUCUUUAAAAAUCCUGCCCCACUUCUCCUUUGGAGACUUCAACUACAUGUCACACAUCUCAUUGAUGCUCUGAUUGUUGAUUUUUUCUUUCUUUCUCAUUUUGUUUUAAGUCAUUUUUUUCCUCUGUUUUACUUCAGAUAGUGUCUCUUGCUAUGUUUUCAAAUUUGCUGAUCUUUCCUUUUGCAAUGCAUAAUCUUUUGAUCGAUUUUUCUCCUUGUAUGGUUCAUGUUUUCUUGCUUAUUUGCACACCUGGUACUUUUUGGUAGGAUGCCAGACAUGGUGGAUUUUACCUUUCCGGGUGCUGGGUAUUUUUGCAUUCCUGUAAAUAUUCCUGAUCUUUCCUCCGGGAUGCUGUUGAGUUACCUGGAGACAGUUUGAUCCUUUCAGGUCUUGAUUUCAAGAUUGUGAGGGAGGACCAGAGCAGUGUUUAGUCUAGCGCUAAUUAUCCCCACUUCUGAAUGUUUUACCCAGAGCUGGAUAAAUUAUGAUGUUUUCCUGUCUGGAGGUGAGAACAGGCACUACUGCCAGCCUUGUGUGAGAGGUGGCCACUGCUCCCCCUGAGUCUUUUGGGGAGGUCUUUCCUGGGCUUGAGUAAUCUCCUCACACACAUGCAUGCUCACUGCUCUGUUGAAUAUAUGAAAGGAAACCUCUACAGAUCUCUGGAGUUCUCUCUCUGGGCAGCUGCCUUCUCUACUGUGCUGCCCAAUAAACUCCAGGCACCUUGAUGUCUCUAGAUUUUUACCUUUGGCUCCUUAACUUGGGGAUCUCCUAUGCUCUCCAUCCCCGUGCUGUGGCCUGGAAUCUCUUGCAAGGCAGGAAUCUGGAAUAAUCCUAGGCCUUAUCUGAUUUUGUUUCCCUGUCUCUCAGGGCUCACUGUCUUUUGUUGCUGAUGUCCAAUGUGUUGAAAACCAUUGUUUUGUAUAUUUUUUCUAUUGUGUUUUUUGUGGUUUCAAGCGGUUGUGUACCUCCUAUUCCUGAUACUUCAUCUUGGCUGAGAGUGGAUGUUGACGCUCCUAUUAUUUUUUUAGAAAAAGUUUUUCGUUCUGUCUUCCCAGAGGUUUAUCAAUUUUAUAAGUCCUUUCCAAUGACACACAUUUGUCUUUCUCAAGUCUCUUUAUGGUAUAGUUUUUUAUCCAUAAAUGUGUCAUUUGUCCACAGAUCUUCCUCUGUUUAUGAUGGGAUUACAUCCUGAUAAACCCACCAUGAAUUGAAAAUGCAUUUAAUACACCUAACCUACCAAACAUCAUAGGUUAGCCCAGCCUAUCUUAAACGCGCCCAGAACACUUAGAUUAUCCUCCAGUUGGGUAAGAUCUUCUCACACAAAGCCUAUUUUAUAAUGAAGUGUUGACUAUCUCAUGUCAUUUAUUGAGUCUGGUACUGAAGGGAACAACAGUGGCUGUGAGUGUACCGGUUGUUCACCCUCCUGAUCACGUGGCUGACUGGGAGCUGCGGCUCACUCCACUGCCCAGCAUCACGAGCGAGUGUGGGACAGCAUAUUGCGAGCCUGGGAAAUUAGCAAAAUUCAAGAAAGCAUCAACUGGAGAGACUUCCACCCAUGUUGACUCCUGGGCAGAACGUUCACUCAGCAGACGGUAUAGUCCAGCUCAAGACACCCUGGUGGCUCUUGUCUGGUACGCAGCAUACAGAGGCUCUUCUGCAGGCCGCAGGGAAGUUCCUCUAGAACAAUAAAGCACAGUACGAUACUGCUGAACAAGCGUUAUCACCCCUGGAGAAGUCAAGAAACAUGAGAGCUCCACAUAUCAAUUGCUCUAAGCUGCAAAGGUCCUACCAUGGGCCCUGUACUCAUUGGGAAGGAACAGUGGGGUGGCAAGGUAUUUAUGUCAACUGGGUCACGGUCAGUCACAGGAAAACAGAAUCCAGGGCUGGACCCAGCUUUGACUCGAGAUUGGGAGCUGGUACAUUUACACCAAAAACACAGUGAACUCUACAAUCUACCGUGUCCUGUGCCAGAGGAAGAACACAGCCAACCAUUGCUCCAGGAAUCUGGAAGAUGGAGAAUUGGACCAUCAGAGGCCAGGGUGAUCAAGAAAGUCUUUGUGAUCUUUUGUCCACACCAGGCAGUCACUUCCAACCAGGAGGUCUCUAAAAGCAUGGAGACUCUUCAGAGGUCGAUGUUUUUGGCCAAGAC
Molecule: long non-coding RNA, 2242 nt
Filed under: Equus caballus (horse)
Lineage: Eukaryota; Metazoa; Chordata; Mammalia; Perissodactyla; Equidae
Description: lncRNA (ENSECAG00000045753.1)
Source: RNAcentral